This 793-nucleotide ribosomal RNA is filed under the name Scolecobasidium anomalum. RNAcentral's name for it is "eukaryotic LSU rRNA". It matches the Rfam family "Eukaryotic large subunit ribosomal RNA", at positions 71 to 883 of the family's 3401-position model. The record is from RNAcentral. Lineage: Eukaryota; Fungi; Ascomycota; Dothideomycetes; Venturiales; Sympoventuriaceae.
GGGAUUGCCCCAGUAACGGCGAGUGAAGCGGCAACAGCUCAAAUUUGAAAUCUGGGGCCCUUUGGGCCUCCGAGUUGUAAUUUGCAGAGGGUGCCUCGGAGGGCGCGCCGGUCCAAGUGCCUUGGAACAGGAUACCGCAGAGGGUGAGAGUCCCGUAUCCGGCCGGCGUGGCGCUCCGUGUGAGGCCCCUUCGACGAGUCGAGUUGUUUGGGAAUGCAGCUCCAAGCGGGUGGUAAAUUCCAUCUAAAGCUAAAUACUGGCCAGAGACCGAUAGCGAACAAGUAGAGUGAUCGAAAGAUGAAAAGCACUUUGAAAAGAGAGUCAAACAGUACGUGAAAUUGUUGAAAGGGAAGCGCAUGGGGGCAGACUUGGCCGCGGGGUUCAGGGUGCGUUCUCGCGCCUGUACUUCCCCGCGGACAGGCCAGCAUCGGUUUCGGGGGCCGGACAAAGGCGUCGGGAAGGUGGCACUCUUCGGGGUGUGUUAUAGCCCGGCGCGCAAUGCGGCCACCUGGGACCGAGGACCGCGCUUCGGCAAGGAUGCUGGCGUAAUGGCCUCAUGCGGCCCGUCUUGAAACACGGACCAAGGAGUCUAACAUCUAUGCGAGUGUUUGGGUGACAAGCCCGAGCGCGCAAUGAAAGUGAACGGAGGUGGGAGCCCUCGGGCGCACCAUCGACCGAUCCGGACGUCUUCUGAAGGAUUUGAGUAAGAGCAUAGCUGUUGGGACCCGAAAGAUGGUGAACUAUGCGUGAAUAGGGUGAAGCCAGAGGAAACUCUGGUGGAGGCUCGCAGCGG